This 406-nucleotide ribosomal RNA is filed under the name Pseudomonas sp. R-37923. RNAcentral describes it as "bacterial SSU rRNA". It matches the Rfam family "Bacterial small subunit ribosomal RNA", at positions 21 to 429 of the family's 1533-position model. The record is from RNAcentral. Lineage: Bacteria; Pseudomonadati; Pseudomonadota; Gammaproteobacteria; Pseudomonadales; Pseudomonadaceae.
GGCUCAGAUUGAACGCUGGCGGCAGGCCUAACACAUGCAAGUCGAGCGGUAGAGRGAAGCUUGCUUCUCUUGAGAGCGGCGGACGGGUGAGUAAUGCCUAGGAAUCUGCCUGGUAGUGGGGGAUAACGUUCGGAAACGGACGCUAAUACCGCAUACGUCCUACGGGAGAAAGCAGGGGACCUUCGGGCCUUGCGCUAUCAGAUGAGCCUAGGUCGGAUUAGCUAGUUGGUGGGGUAAUGGCUCACCAAGGCGACGAUCCGUAACUGGUCUGAGAGGAUGAUCAGUCACACUGGAACUGAGACACGGUCCAGACUCCUACGGGAGGCAGCAGUGGGGAAUAUUGGACAAUGGGCGAAAGCCUGAUCCAGCCAUGCCGCGUGUGUGAAGAAGGUCUUCGGAUUGUAAA